UCAUCUUCCAAUUGACCUGCAGUUAUGUUAUUAAUAUGUUUACGUUCUGAAGUUAAUAUAAAUGAGAUGGAUGAAUACAGAUUACUAAUAUGCAUAUCAGGUUAAUAAACCUUUAUGUUUUUUAAAAUAUGUGUACUUUGUUCAGUAAUUUGAAAUUAGGCAGGAGUCAGUGUAAGUAUUAUUAUCUUCUUAAACUCAUUGAUUAGGAUAGUAACAGAGAUAAACAGUUCAUGUCCACUGUGACAACUAGCGUAAGCUAACAUUUAUAUUUAUUUAUACUGGAAUAUGUAUUUCAGCUUCCAUUUCACUUUGUUAUUUAUUUGACAAGGAGAAGUUUGUAUAUGACUGUUAGAAUAAUUUUUCUAAUGUUCCAGAAUCUCUCAGUAAUUUUAAGGGGCCUCUAAUGGCAUUCUAAGUAGAAUUGAUUAUCCAUUACUUCCAGAACUUGGUGGGCAUAUGUGAGUAACAAAUACUAAUAAUUUUAAAUUAAAGAUUAUAAUUAAGGCUGAAAAUGUCCAAAGUCCUUCAUCAGUAGUCAACGUCUGCGAUACUGAUCAAGAUGAAGUUGAAUUAUACCGGAGAGGUGUUUACCUAGAAGUUGGUUAGAUCAACUUCAUCAAGUGUAAUUUUGAUUAAA
This 637-nucleotide long non-coding RNA is filed under the name Marmota monax (woodchuck). Lineage: Eukaryota; Metazoa; Chordata; Mammalia; Rodentia; Sciuridae. The record is from RNAcentral.